GACGAACGCUGGCGGCGUGCCUAAUGCAUGCAAGUAGAACGCUGAAGAGAGGAGCUUGCUCUUCUUGGAUGAGUUGCGAACGGGUGAGUAACGCGUAGGUAACCUGCCUUGUAGCGGGGGAUAACUAUUGGAAACGAUAGCUAAUACCGCAUAACAAUGGAUGACACAUGUCAUUUAUUUGAAAGGGGCAAUUGCUCCACUACAAGAUGGACCUGCGUUGUAUUAGCUAGUAGGUGAGGUAAUGGCUCACCUAGGCGACGAUACAUAGCCGACCUGAGAGGGUGAUCGGCCACACUGGGACUGAGACACGGCCCAGACUCCUACGGGAGGCAGCAGUAGGGAAUCUUCGGCAAUGGGGGCAACCCUGACCGAGCAACGCCGCGUGAGUGAAGAAGGGUUUCGGAUCGUAAAGCUCUGUUGUAAGUCAAGAACGGGUGUGAGAGUGGAAAGUUCACACUGUGACGGUAGCUUACCAGAAAGGGACGGCUAACUACGUG
Molecule: ribosomal RNA, 497 nt
Filed under: uncultured bacterium
Lineage: Bacteria
Description: partial 16S ribosomal RNA
Rfam family: Bacterial small subunit ribosomal RNA
Source: RNAcentral